UACAGAGGGCUCAAGCGUUGUUCGGAUUCAUUGGGCGUAAAGGGUGCGUAGGUGGCGGGUUAAGUCAGGUGUGAAAUCUCGGGGCUCAACCCCGAAACUGCAUUUGAUACUGCCUUGCUCGAGUACUGGAGAGGAGAGUGGAAUUUACGGUGUAGCAGUGAAAUGCGUAGAUAUCGUAAGGAAGACCAGUGGCGAAGGCGAAUCUCUGGACAGUUACUGACACUGAGGCACGAAGGCCAGGGGAGCAAACGGG
Molecule: ribosomal RNA, 253 nt
Filed under: uncultured bacterium
Lineage: Bacteria
Description: partial 16S ribosomal RNA
Rfam family: Bacterial small subunit ribosomal RNA
Source: RNAcentral